CGAGCGGACCGACGGGAGCUUGCUCCCUUAGGUCAGCGGCGGACGGGUGAGUAACACGUGGGUAACCUGCCUGUAAGACUGGGAUAACUCCGGGAAACCGGGGCUAAUACCGGAUGCUUGAUUGAACCGCAUGGUUCAAUCAUAAAAGGUGGCUUUCAGCUACCACUUACAGAUGGACCCGCGGCGCAUUAGCUAGUUGGUGAGGUAACGGCUCACCAAGGCGACGAUGCGUAGCCGACCUGAGAGGGUGAUCGGCCACACUGGGACUGAGACACGGCCCAGACUCCUACGGGAGGCAGCAGUAGGGAAUCUUCCGCAAUGGACGAAAGUCUGACGGAGCAACGCCGCGUGAGUGAUGAAGGUUUUCGGAUCGUAAAACUCUGUUGUUAGGGAAGAACAAGUACCGUUCGAAUAGGGCGGCACCUUGACGGUACCUAACCAGAAAGCCACGGCUAACUACGUGCCAGCAGCCGCGGUAAUACGUAGGUGGCAAGCGUUGUCCGGAAUUAUUGGGCGUAAAGCGCGCGCAGGCGGUUUCUUAAGUCUGAUGUGAAAGCCCCCGGCUCAACCGGGGAGGGUCAUUGGAAACUGGGGAACUUGAGUGCAGAAGAGGAGAGUGGAAUUCCACGUGUAGCGGUGAAAUGCGUAGAGAUGUGGAGGAACACCAGUGGCGAAGGCGACUCUC
RNAcentral lists this ribosomal RNA (685 nucleotides) under uncultured Bacilli bacterium. RNAcentral's name for it is "bacterial SSU rRNA". It matches the Rfam family "Bacterial small subunit ribosomal RNA", at positions 63 to 729 of the family's 1533-position model. Lineage: Bacteria; Bacillati; Bacillota; Bacilli. The record is from RNAcentral.